GAAGGAAGGAAGGAAAGAAGGAAGGAAGGAAAGAAAGAAGGAAAGAAGGAAGGAAGAAAAAGAGGGAGGAAGGAAGGAAGGAAGCAAGGAAAAAGAAGGAAUAAACAACAAAACAGGCCUUUGUCACAGGCCAGGUCAGAGACUUUGGUACCCACAGCCUAACUAUUCAUGGUAUUUUCUAUUACAAAGCUGCACUGUCAUUUCUGAGGCUGUACUCAUUUAGAUGCCAACAUGUUCACAAGUUACGCUCCAGGGCCAAAGGCACUCCAAACAUUAAAGAGACCAGUAGAAUCUUAAAAUGUUGGCUGCCUUAAUGAGUUUUCAGGUUUUCUCUCUGGGAAAGUAACAGGCAAAACUGCUGUAAUUCUUUCCAAGCAAUAUGGUACCUAGGACAUAGAGAUGCCAGUAGUCUCCUUAGCAACCAGGAGUUGCUAGAAGAUGAAAUCCUGAUCUUUAUUCAUGCAGCAGAUCACAUGGGGUCAGGUACUAUUUAUCGCUCCAGCAGAAACCACAAGUCACUGGGAUUUUAAUUGCAUCCUUAAGAUCAGUAAGAAAAGAAGUAAAUGGGAGAAAUGAGAAGAGUUACUAAUGAGCAUGUAGUGAACAUAAAACAUUCAGUUAGCUUCUUUGAAGCAUGUGCUUUUGUUAAGUGUGCUUCAGAAGCCAUUGCUUACACAGACACACACGCGCGCGUGCACACACACACACACACACAGGCUUUAGGGCUUCAAACACUGCCUUCUCUUCAUUAAAAUUCUAAACUCACAAACCGAGCUCAUUAUGUGAAUGUUUAGUUUGGGAGGAUUUUCCAGCUACAUACCACUUGACCAUUAUAUGUUUGCCUCAUCUAGCAUUGCUUUUAACAAACUUGCCUCCCAAAAGACCAUAAUAUUGAGCAAUCCUGGAGCCGAACUGCAGCUAAAGGAUACAAAUCAAUGUUAUCCCUUUUCAUUAAAAUAGCCUUGUUGAGGUAGCAGGUGGUGACUGGUCAUAAAACCAACUGCUGAGUCCUUGACAGAUGGGGUCUAAAUUACAUUUUUCGUUGUCUUUCUGAGUUCAAUUCCAUGUAUUUAUUUAACAAAUAUUUAUUGCUGUGUUCUUGAUAUUAAUAUGUAUCAGGCACUCAUUAAGACUUAAAAGUACUAUACACAAUGGCAUAAUUAGCUUACCAAAAUUUCUCCCACCAACAAAUAAACGAGCCCUAUUGAUUAAUCACGUUUAUGUAAAUUUACAGGACUAGAGAGGUUACAGCAGAAUAGCACCCUGUUUCUCAUAUCCAUAAAAGGAGUAAUAGUAUUUUCAAGAGUCCCAGAGAGAGCGAUUUUAUAAAGUUGACAAAGUAUCUUGUCUUACAAAUCAAUUUUUCCCUUCAUCCUUUGAAAGGAGCCGCUUUUGAAAUCUGACCUCGGAGGGAAAGGAAAUGACAUUUAAAAAUAAUAGCUGUAGCUUUUUCUUUACUGGCUGCUAAAUGAAGGAGCCAGACCAAAGGCAGGCAGCCUAAGGCACCAAGGACCACUGAACAGGAAUAGGAGGUUAGUCCUAAUGGUACUAUACUUCUCUCUUUCCUCUUAUUUUCUUUUCCUUUUAUAUAUUCUUUUAUUUACUUCCCCCAUUUUCUUUUCUCCUGCCCAACUUCCUAUUAAUGGAAUUUAAAAGAUAAAAAUCCUUCUAGCUCCAUGGCCAGUGGCAAAUAUCAUUUUAGACAACCUCUGUCACCUUUUCUAGCAUGCCCUAUGGGUUAUUGUUACAGAUGCAACGUGGGAAGACACAAUAGUGGGUGCUUGACAUGCUGUCAGAAUCUCACUGUUUCCAAAACACUGUGAAAUUUCCCAGGGAUUUGUGGAGCAAUUUUGAAAGUCAAGUCAGAGAACCUUGGAAUUCGUAUGCAGGCAAUUUGUACCAAGUUGUCAGCACCAGCAGUGGAUGUUUUAAUGUAUGUGCACAUAAUUCUCCCAUUUUAGCUGGAGGAUGCAAAGACCAGGAGGCUGAAUCCAUCUACAGGCCUGAUUGAGGUGGGAGGAGCCGUCUCAGGGAGGCUCACUCGGGCUGCUGGCUACUUGGUGUCGCUGCACCUGAGCCUCUUUAUGCAGAAGCAUGUCGACCCGGGACACGUUCACCAGGCUGCUGGAGCGUCAACAUGGCGCUUAGCGUCCCCCGGAAUGAGGUUGCUGACCGAGACAAACGCAGACCUCUCCCCUUUUUCCUGAACCUGCCGACAAGGCAGGCCCUCCAACGUGAUCCUUCGACUUCCUAUUCUUUGCCUCAUAUUUGAUUAGGUAAAAUUAGAACUGCUUUGUUCCUUUGUAAGCAGCUCACCAGAAAAAAACUUUUCCUCUUUGGAUAACUGAGGCUUCUGCUGGCAAAUAAACCACACCCAGACUGUAAA
This is a long non-coding RNA of Acinonyx jubatus (cheetah), 2386 nucleotides long. RefSeq lists it as uncharacterized. Lineage: Eukaryota; Metazoa; Chordata; Mammalia; Carnivora; Felidae. The record is from RefSeq and is a predicted model, not a curated record. The transcript has 2 exons.